GCCGGUCCUCGGUAGUGGCCGUCGGAACUCCAGUCGCACCAGCGCGGCAGUGAGGUCCGCCGGCUUCGAUCGACGGCCGGU
This is a regulatory RNA element of Nakamurella panacisegetis, 81 nucleotides long. It matches the Rfam family "Actino-pnp RNA". The record is from Rfam. NCBI's taxonomy places the organism in Bacteria, Bacillati, Actinomycetota, Actinomycetes, Nakamurellales, Nakamurellaceae.